GAAUAAAUAUAACUUGCUCACUUGAUAUGGAUUGUCAAUCAUUGGUUUUCCUCGACAGCACUCGUGAAGUACAAUAUGUCAUGCACAAAGAAUGAAGCAGGAAGUAGAUGACACAAAUAGAAUGCGAUUUUAGUGGGUGCUCUUGGAUUGAUGACCUGCUUCCGAAUGAUGGAAUUGACGAAGGUGGAGUAAUCAAUAACCGAAGGACAAGACAAGAAUUGUGAAGCAGGUAAUGCACAGUGAUUUUGUAACAAAGUAUCGAGUAUGGCGCAGUCGAGGACAUUGCGGGGUGAAUCAGUGGCAUUGACACCAAUAGCGACCGGCCACAACAUUGGUCCAGUUCGUG
Molecule: long non-coding RNA, 346 nt
Filed under: Eucalyptus grandis
Lineage: Eukaryota; Viridiplantae; Streptophyta; Magnoliopsida; Myrtales; Myrtaceae
Description: long non-coding RNA (EGRA_LNC001196)
Source: RNAcentral